GCUCAGGACGAACGCUGGCGGCGUGCUUAACACAUGCAAGUCGAGCGGUAAGGCACUUCGGUGUACACGAGCGGCGAACGGGUGAGUAACACGUGAGUAAUCUGCCCUUCACUCUGGGAUAAGCACUCGAAAGGGUGUCUAAUACCGGAUACGACGGACCACCGCAUGGUGUGUUUGUGGAAACUUUUAUGGGUGGGGGAUGUGCUCGCGGCCUAUCAGCUUGUUGGUGAGGUAAUGGCUCACCAAGGCUUCGACGGGUAGCCGGCCUGAGAGGGCGAUCGGCCACACUGGGACUGAGACACGGCCCAGACUCCUACGGGAGGCAGCAGUGGGGAAUAUUGGACAAUGGGCGGAAGCCUGAUCCAGCAACGCCGCGUGAGGGAUGACUGCCUUCGGGUUGUAAACCUCUUUCAUCAUUGACGAAGCUUCAACGUUGUUGGGGUGACGGUA
RNAcentral lists this ribosomal RNA (450 nucleotides) under Nocardioides sp. Its description in RNAcentral is "bacterial SSU rRNA". It matches the Rfam family "Bacterial small subunit ribosomal RNA", at positions 22 to 477 of the family's 1533-position model. The record is from RNAcentral. Lineage: Bacteria; Bacillati; Actinomycetota; Actinomycetes; Propionibacteriales; Nocardioidaceae.